UACGUAGGGUGCAGGCGUUAAUCGGAAUUACUGGGCGUAAAGCGUGCGCAGGCGGUCUUUUAAGUCAGAUGUGAAAUCCCCGGGCUUAACCUGGGAACUGCGUUUGAAACUGGAAGGCUAGAGUGUGGCAGAGGGGGGUGGAAUUCCACGUGUAGCAGUGAAAUGCGUAGAUAUGUGGAGGAACACCGAUGGCGAAGGCAGCCCCCUGGGCUAACACUGACGCUCAUGCACGAAAGCGUGGGGAGCAAACAGGAUUAGAACCCCUGUAGUCC
RNAcentral lists this ribosomal RNA (272 nucleotides) under uncultured prokaryote. Its description in RNAcentral is "partial 16S ribosomal RNA". It matches the Rfam family "Bacterial small subunit ribosomal RNA", at positions 524 to 796 of the family's 1533-position model. The record is from RNAcentral.